AGAGUUUGAUCCUGGCUCAGAAUCAACGCUGGCGGCGUGCCUAACACAUGCAAGUCGCACGAGAAAGGGGCUUCGGCUCUGAGUAAAGUGGCGCACGGGUGAGUAACACGUGACUAACCUACCUUCGAAUGGGGAAUAACUGAGAGAAAUCUUAGCUAAUACCGCAUAAUACCUACGGGUCAAAGCAGUAAUGCGUUUGAAGAGGGGGUCGCGGUCGAUUAGUUAGUUGGCGGGGUAAUGGCCCACCAAGACGAUGAUCGAUAUCCGGCCUGAGAGGGCGCACGGACACACUGGAACUGAAACACGGUCCAGACUCCUACGGGAGGCAGCAGUGGGGAAUUUUGCGCAAUGGGGGAAACCCUGACGCAGCAACGCCGCGUGGAGGAUGAAGUACUUCGGUACGUAAACUCCUUUCGAUCGGGACGAUUAUGACGGUACC
This 439-nucleotide ribosomal RNA is filed under the name uncultured bacterium. Its description in RNAcentral is "bacterial SSU rRNA". It matches the Rfam family "Bacterial small subunit ribosomal RNA", at positions 8 to 479 of the family's 1533-position model. The record is from RNAcentral.